Molecule: small RNA, 662 nt
Filed under: Histoplasma capsulatum
Lineage: Eukaryota; Fungi; Ascomycota; Eurotiomycetes; Onygenales; Ajellomycetaceae
Also listed under: 1 other name
Description: hypothetical RNA
Source: RNAcentral
GUGACUCACAAGGCAGAAGAAUCACUGAAUCCUAUCUGUUUAAUGAAUAAGAUUCAGAGAAAAAGAGGAUGAAUGUUCUGGGAGUCUUUUAAUGAUAUUACAAAGAAGCCUUGUCUAUUCUGGAAAAAGGAUUGAGAAACAAUCAAUAAGACAUCCUAUUGCAAAUGUAUAGUCCCUCUCAUUCAUGGAUGAAUACAAAUGAAUCCUAGGUUGAAAUUGAUACAAGAUGGAGCUCCAGAACAUACUGCAGCAGAGACUUCUCAAGAUCUUCAGAAACAUGGAAUCACUUCUAUAGAUUGACCAUCAUAUUCUCCUGAUCUGAACUCAAUUGAAGCUGUAUGGAACCUUAUGAAGUAGUGAAUACAGAAGAAUCAUGGAAAUGAGAAAAAUCUUUCUUAUAAUACACUACAAGAGGUGGUUAGAAAUUCCUGAGACUCUAUAACAAGAGAGCAGCUACAAGAGCUUAUUGCAGAGAUGCCUGCUCACUGUCAGACAGUUAUAGAGACAGGGGGUGGCUAUACAAGAUAUUAAUAUGAUAUUCAUUCCAUCUAAAGAUUCUCUAUGAUGAUGAAAAACACACUGAACACAAGAAUGCCACAUAAACCCCCAGAAUGAUCAUUAGCAGAGCACUAAAAUAUUAGAAUGGCUCUAACGAAAAUACC